RNAcentral lists this ribosomal RNA (1001 nucleotides) under uncultured Planctomycetota bacterium. RNAcentral describes it as "bacterial SSU rRNA". It matches the Rfam family "Bacterial small subunit ribosomal RNA", at positions 509 to 1504 of the family's 1533-position model. Lineage: Bacteria; Pseudomonadati; Planctomycetota. The record is from RNAcentral.
CAGCCGCCGCGGUAAUACGAACUGUGCGAACGUUAUUCGGAAUCACUGGGCUUAAAGGGUGCGUAGGCGGCUUUGUAGGUCAGGUGUGAAAGCCCACGGCUCAACCGUGGAAUGGCGCUUGAAACCACAAAGCUUGAGGGAGAUAGAGGAGAGCGGAACUGAUGGUGGAGCGGUGAAAUGCGUUGAUAUCAUCAGGAACACCGGUGGCGAAAGCGGCUCUCUGGAUCUCUUCUGACGCUCAGGCACGAAAGCUAGGGGAGCGAACGGGAUUAGAUACCCCGGUAGUCCUAGCUGUAAACGAUGAGUACUAGUCCGUGGGAACUUCCACAUUUUCUCGAACGUAGCGAAAGUGUUAAGUACUCCGCCUGGGGAGUAUGUUCGCAAGGCUGAAACUCAAAGGAAUUGACGGGGGCUCACACAAGCGGUGGAGGAUGUGGCUUAAUUCGAGAAUACGCGAAGAACCUUACCUAGAUUUAGCAUGUUUGGGAAAGUCUGUGAAAGCAGAACGUGCCUUUCGGGGAACCCUUACGUAGGUGCUGCAUGGCUGUCGUCAGCUCGUGUCGUGAGAUGUCGGGUUAAGUCCCUUAACGAGCGAAACCCUUGUCCUUAGUUGCCAGCGAGUAAUGUCGGGGACUCUAAGGAGACUGCCGGUGUUAAACCGGGGGAAGGUGGGGAUGACGUCAAGUCCUCAUGGCCUUUAUAUCUAGGGCUGCACACGUCUUACAAUGCACUAUACAAAGCGAUGCGAAAUCGUGAGAUCAAGCAAACCGCAUAAAGUAGUGCCUAGUUCGGAUUGCAGGCUGAAAUUCGCCUGCAUGAAGCCGGAAUCGCUAGUAAUCGCGGGUCAGCAUACCGCGGUGAAUGUGUUCCUGAGCCUUGUACACACCGCCCGUCAAGCCACGAAAGUUGGGGGGGCCCGAAGUCGCAAAUCUAACUCUUUGAGAGGAUAGCGCCGAAGGUCAACUCGAUGAUUGGGACUAAGUCGUAACAAGGUAGCCGUA